Molecule: ribosomal RNA, 459 nt
Filed under: uncultured bacterium
Lineage: Bacteria
Description: partial 16S ribosomal RNA
Rfam family: Bacterial small subunit ribosomal RNA
Source: RNAcentral
GAUGAACGCUGGCGGCGCGCCUAACACAUGCAAGUCGAACGGCACCCCUCCUCGGAGGGAAGCGAGUGGCGAACGGCUGAGUAACACGUGGAGAACCUGCCCCCUCCCCCGGGAUAGCCGCCCGAAAGGACGGGUAAUACCGGAUACCCCGGGGUGCCGCAUGGCACCCCGGCGAAAGCCCCGACGGGAGGGGAUGGCUCCGCGGCCCAUCAGGUAGACGGCGGGGUGACGGCCCACCGUGCCGACAACGGGUAGCCGGGUUGAGAGACCGACCGGCCAGAUUGGGACUGAGGCACGGCCCAGACUCCUGCGGGAGACGGCAGUGGGGAAUCUUGCGCAAUGGGGGGAACCCUGACGCAGCGACGCCGCGUGCGGGACGGAGGCCUUCGGGUCGUAAACCGCUUUCAGCAGGGAAGAGUCAAGACUGUACCUGCAGAAGAAGCCCCGGCUAACUACGUG